GAUGAACGCUAGCUACAGGCUUAACACAUGCAAGUCGAGGGGAAACGAUAUUGGAAGCUUGCUUCCGAUAGGCGUCGACCGGCGCACGGGUGAGUAACGCGUAUCCAACCUGCCCAUCACUUGGGGAUAACCUUGCGAAAGUAAGACUAAUACCCAAUGACGUCUCUAGAAGACAUCUGAAGGAGAUUAAAGAUUUAUCGGUGAUGGAUGGGGAUGCGUCUGAUUAGCUUGUUGGCGGGGUAACGGCCUACCAAGGCGACGAUCAGUAGGGGUUCUGAGAGGAAGGUCCCCCACAUUGGAACUGAGACACGGUCCAAACUCCUACGGGAGGCAGCAGUGAGGAAUAUUGGUCAAUGGGCGAGAGCCUGAACCAGCCAAGUAGCGUGCAGGAAGACGGCCCUAUGGGUUGUAAACUGCUUUUAUAAGGGAAUAAAGUGGGAGUCGUGACUCCUUUUGCAUGUACCUUAUGAAUAAGGACCGGCUAAUUCCGUGCCAGCAGCCGCCGCAG
Molecule: ribosomal RNA, 508 nt
Filed under: uncultured bacterium
Lineage: Bacteria
Description: partial 16S ribosomal RNA
Rfam family: Bacterial small subunit ribosomal RNA
Source: RNAcentral